This 77-nucleotide transfer RNA is filed under the name Clostridia bacterium. RNAcentral describes it as "tRNA-Arg". It matches the Rfam family "tRNA". Rfam says of the family: Transfer RNA (tRNA) molecules are approximately 80 nucleotides in length. Their secondary structure includes four short double-helical elements and three loops (D, anti-codon, and T loops). Further hydrogen bonds mediate the characteristic L-shaped molecular structure. tRNAs have two regions of fundamental functional importance: the anti-codon, which is responsible for specific mRNA codon recognition, and the 3' end, to which the tRNAs corresponding amino acid is attached (by aminoacyl-tRNA synthetases). tRNAs cope with the degeneracy of the genetic code in two manners: having more than one tRNA (with a specific anti-codon) for a particular amino acid; and 'wobble' base-pairing, i.e. permitting non-standard base-pairing at the 3rd anti-codon position. The record is from RNAcentral. Lineage: Bacteria; Bacillati; Bacillota; Clostridia.
GUACCUGUAGCUCAGUUGGAUAGAGCGUCAGACUCCGACUCUGAAGGCCGUAGGUUCGAAUCCUAUCAGGUACGCCA